Molecule: ribosomal RNA, 497 nt
Filed under: uncultured bacterium
Lineage: Bacteria
Description: partial 16S ribosomal RNA
Rfam family: Bacterial small subunit ribosomal RNA
Source: RNAcentral
GAUGAACGCUGGCGGCGUGCCUAAUACAUGCAAGUCGAGCGAACAGAUGAGGAGCUUGCUCCUCUGACGUUAGCGGCGGACGGGUGAGUAACACGUGGAUAACCUACCUAUAAGACUGGGAUAACUUCGGGAAACCGGAGCUAAUACCGGAUAAUAUAUUGAACCGCAUGGUUCAAUAGUGAAAGACGGUUUUGCUGUCACUUAUAGAUGGAUCCGCGCCGCAUUAGCUAGUUGGUAAGGUAACGGCUUACCAAGGCGACGAUGCGUAGCCGACCUGAGAGGGUGAUCGGCCACACUGGAACUGAGACACGGUCCAGACUCCGACGGGAGGCAGCAGUAGGGAAUCUUCCGCAAUGCGCGAAAGCCUGACGGAGCAACGCCGCGGGAGUGAUGAAGGUCUUCGGAUCGUAAAACUCUGUUAUUAGGGAAGAACAAAUGUGUAAGUAACUAUGCACGUCUUGACGGUACCUAAUCAGAAAGCCACGGCUAACUACGUG